GGGGAUUUAGCUCAGUGGUAGAGCGCUUGCCUAGCGAGCUUGAGGCCCUGGGUUCAGUCCCCAGCUCCG
This 69-nucleotide transfer RNA is filed under the name Rattus norvegicus (Norway rat). It matches the Rfam family "tRNA". Rfam says of the family: Transfer RNA (tRNA) molecules are approximately 80 nucleotides in length. Their secondary structure includes four short double-helical elements and three loops (D, anti-codon, and T loops). The record is from Rfam by way of RNAcentral. Lineage: Eukaryota; Metazoa; Chordata; Mammalia; Rodentia; Muridae.